Molecule: ribosomal RNA, 433 nt
Filed under: uncultured bacterium
Lineage: Bacteria
Description: partial 16S ribosomal RNA
Rfam family: Bacterial small subunit ribosomal RNA
Source: RNAcentral
AACGAACGCUGGCGGCAUGCCUAACACAUGCAAGUCGAACGAUGCUUUCGGGCAUAGUGGCGCACGUGUGCGUAACGCGUGGGAAUCUGCCCUUGGGUUCGGUAUAACAGUGAGAAAUUGCUGCUAAUACCGGUUGAUGUCUUCGGACCAAAGAUGUAUCGCCCAGGGAUGGGCGCGCGUAGGAUUAGCUAGUUGGUGGGGUAAUGGCAUACCAAGGCGACGAUCCUUAGCUGGUCGGUGAGGAUGAUCAGCUAGACUGGGACUGAGGCACAGCCCAGACAGCGACGCGAAGGAGCGGAAGGGAGCACUGUACGAGGAAGGCUAGCCUGAUCCAGCAAUGCGGGGGAAGUGAGGAAGGCGGUAGUGAUGUAAUGCUGCCUUACCCGAGAUGAGAAUGACAGUACCGGGAGAAGAAGCUCCGGCUAACUCCGUG